This 809-nucleotide long non-coding RNA is filed under the name Felis catus (domestic cat). RNAcentral's name for it is "lncRNA (ENSFCAG00000046210.2)". Lineage: Eukaryota; Metazoa; Chordata; Mammalia; Carnivora; Felidae. The record is from RNAcentral.
AGAAGUCUUAAAUAUUGCAAAUGCUGUAUAAUUUUUGCAGUUAUACAACACAUCUAACGCUAGAGUAAACUCUAUGUCUACAUUAACACGUUUCCCGUGGUAGCAUAGUCUUGUCUCCCGUGCUUGUCCCCUUGCACGCUCCACUCAGGCACGUAGGCCUUUUUCUCACGCUCACCAGGCUGGCCCCACAUCAAGGCCCACAUUGCACAGAUUGGAGCCUUUGCAAAUUCCUGCGCAGCCUGCCAUGAGUUCCUGAGGGUGGGGCUUGCUAGGGGUGUUGAGAAUUGGUGGGAUCACCAGCCAGUCCAGAUGCUGGAAGAGUAGCCAGCAGGUUCCCCAGCUGCCUGUCUCAUUGCCCUGAGAGGCAGUUAGGUGGUUGCAGAGAGACAGGUCCUAAAGGUUUGGUGACGAAAGAAUUGGAAACCAGGGGGCUAAGACUCUCCAGGAGCCGAAGCAUCGGUCCCCUGGCUCAAGCCUCUUUUAUUUUUGCAAAUUACCUGAUAACAGCGAGCACGUACAACAUAGUAUUUGGCAUCUUGACAGGCCGUGCACCUGCAGUAUAUUCCAUACUGGGUCAUGAGUACAUCUGGCAGCAGACCAAACAUUCUUAUCCCAGGCCUGGAGCCCGUAUGAUGUCCUUCUGGAGAGUACGAGCAGUCACGGCAGCCUUCCGUCCUGGGAAUGAAACUGCUUUCAGUUUUCUUGCUGCUCUGUCCCUUUCCUUCAGGACAUUCUUAUGGUGCCUCCAGCUUCUUGUUCUCCAAUGGGUGAUCUCCUCUGGAGUGAAGAUUUGGCAUCUUCCCAAAUGA